ACCAAGUACAAGGGGCUGAACAGGUGUGCUAUUCCACUGUGCAUUCAGGGAGGGAAGAAUUUAACUCCGUCAAAUUUAGUUAGCUAUUAACUUGAGCAAGGCAAAGAGCCUCGCAGGAUUCUCCCAUAAGCAGACAUCCUGAGCAUUGAUCCUGACAAGAAGUGCUAUGUAAACUGCAGUAGUUUUAAAUGCAGAGCUUUUUUCUUUCUGUUUCCCUCUCUGCUUUGGCAUGUCUUUGCUUUAUACCUUCUGAAGUUUAGCAUCUGUCAGGAUUUUUGGACUGGACGUUUUUGUCGUCGUUGAUCAGCAGAAUUACUGUGCACUCAGCCUCAACUGAGGAAUAAGCAGGAGGAGCUUGGAGACGAGAUCCAGGGCCUAUCCUCAUCUCUGUCACACUUAUAAAUCUGGAGAAAUUCCACUUGUUCCUUGAGGACACACAAGGAUUUUAUUACAGCAGUGUUGAAAACUGGAAUCUGGCACAUCAUAUUAACAUAAAAUGCAAGGGAAAAAUACCCAUCAACAAGCAAAGGGCAAUACAGAAAAUAGGUUUGUUACGAGCAAAUUUGAUGUGUUUGUUUUCUUCUUCUUUUUUUUUUCCUCUGCAUUAAUGCCAUCCAGGCCUCUCCCAUAUAUUCUCGAGGAAAUGACUUCGUUAUAUCAGAGAAAUAUAUUGAAAAUGAAAUCAGUGGUAGCACCAAAUGUGCCCAGACAUGACAAGACAUUUAAGUAACAACAGCAGAAUUCUAUCUCCUUUCCUGUUUGUUCCAUGUUAACUUAUGGAGAUUGGUGCUGACUUUCUGGAAUGGCUGCAGCAAGCUGUAAAUGAUGUAUGAAAAUGAAAUGAAAAUUCUCUGCCCAAGCCACUGUGCACAGCAAUUGCUGCUGAGCUGAAUUAAUAGCUAUUUGCUCCUGUUUGCUCUGACACGGGAUGGAGCCAGAGAAGCCAGUAGCAAAGAUAUUGGAGUACCCAUCCACAGGUAUCCUGGACAGGACUCCUGCUGAUCCUUCACUCCAUCUUCAGUGGUGCAGUCCCUUCAGAGAGGUGAAAAGGAGGAGACACAAAUGUUUUCAGCCCUUCCUGGAAAAGCCCAAGGGGUUCACUCACAGAAUCAUAAAAUAUCCCAAGUUGGAAGAGACCCCUCAGGAUUAUCAAGUUCAACUCCUGGCUCCACACAGGACCACCCAAAAAUCAGGCCCUGUGUCUGAGAGCUUUGUCCAGAUGCUUCUUGAACUCUGGCAUGAUUGGUGCCAUGACUGCUGCCCUGGGGAGCCUGUUCCAGUGCCUGACCACCCAAAGUAAUAAUAGUGUGGAGUAAUCCUAUGAGAAUGACCAUGGCUGUCUUUACUGAUGUGGGAGGAGGGCAGAAGGAAUGACUUCAGUGCUGCUUUAAUUACUGAUCUCACUAACUGCCCUCCAAACCAGCAGGGUUUUGCCCGGAGCUGUUUCCAAAAGCCAGAAUGCGCUUCUGUAACUGAUUUACACCUGAAAGGGUGGCUCUGAUGGUUCCCCAGUAUGGAUUUUUACCCCAGUGAAGCUUGUACUUCUGGUAACAGAAAUCAAAGACUGUAAGUGUAUCCUGCCUGGACUGCUCACAUUGCUGGUGACAAGUGAUGCGAAAGUGACUGCACUGUCAGCUACUGGAAGCCUCAGGCAACGUGCAGCAGGGCUACAUACAGGGCUAGUUGCCUUAACUGCUUUUGACAUUUCUUCUCUCUGACCAUGAGGUUGCUGAGAUGGGAGAUUAAGUUGCUCGUGGAAGAAUGAGACCUGACACAGGUGAAAACCACAGACAUCUGCUGCAAUACAGCUGCACACCUUCGCCUGGAGUGGAGGCUGUCCUCAGUCAUCCUGCGAGGUAUGCCAGUCGCAAGAGCAUCUGAUAGGCAUUGCAGUUAACACAAGGCUAGGACCACGGUGGGUGAAGGUGGAGAGUGUACAUGAAGGAACACCUCUGUUUGGUUGCUGUUAAAUCAGUUUACAAUGUCUCAUGAGACUGCGGUGUCCCCAGGACCUCUGGCCAACACAUAAACAAAGGACAAAAUGGCCUCAGAAUGGACUUGCUGUCAUCUUUCUAGCUUCUGUGAGAGCAGUGAGAAUGGCUAACUCCUGGAGUCAGCACUAGGGAGGGAUGGAGUCCCAUUGAUACAAGGCAGAUAAGGAACUUGGCUGCAAAUCUAAAAGGACCUGAGAGUGGAAAAUGGGACAGUCCAGUGGGUGCAAACCAGGAGCCCCAGUGAGAAUCCUGUGAGAAGAGAAAGAAAGAAAGAAAGCUGUCCACCCUUUUCAGAAACCACUGAUUUUCCAUUGUAAAGAAAGAAUGAAAAAAACAAACAGAAGUUCCUUGCUUGCUGAUUGAUUUCGAAGGAAGAAAAUCUGCCCGGAGCAUCCACUGUUCCUGCGUGGGUGAUGAAGCGUUUGCUCUGGGAGCUUUGGUCACUCUGCCACUCACUUGCAAGGCACCGGGAAGCUGCUCUGCAUUCAGCAAUGCUGCAGUACCUUGUGGCUUGAGGUGCACUUGAUGAACAAGGUUGAACUGGAAUCUUUGAGCAGGAAUCCUCCUAAGCCUGAACACUGCCUAACUGGUGAAGAGUGAAGUGGGAAAUACAUACUUGUGAGCUCUGGGGCUCCUGUGGCUGGCGGACACUGCAACAAGAUCCAGCACAGCCCACAGGACUUUGAACUCAGUUUUCUCUUUGGAACAGCCUCCCCAGAUGAACUCUGAGCCUGGAUUUGAUGUUCCACACACGGUUUUGUCACAGCCCUGUGCUGUGCUGCCUGAGUGGCACCGAUGUGCAGUAAAGACCCAGCUGGCUGAGCACUUUCAGGACAAACAGGGAAGACAAUUUACUAUCUGAUUUUACGAGAGCCAUUUGCACUUUGCAGAAUUUUUUAAGCAGCAAAACCCUUAAGAGGCAUGUUCUGAGCCUGGUACCUCGGAGAAUUGCACACACAUUUCCUGUCAGCAGCCGGAGAAUGGUGUCUCACACCUGCUAUGAAGAGAUUGAAAUAUAUUCUUAAUGGCUUGAUUGCUUUGCAUUUCCCUGGAGAUGGGAUGACACACUGUGGCGUGGUUUCUUUUCCACAAGGAGCAUCCUGAACAGCGUGGCAGAGCUGAUGCUCGCUCGUACUGAUGCUCCCUGGGAUUUAACCUGUGCUUAAGAUCUAGCUAUGCUCAUAGGGAUGCUCUGGGCCUGGGAGGCAGCAGACAUGGAUCAUAGGUGGUUGCAGGCAGGAUCCUGCACUAGGACUGGUUUAAAGGUCAGCUGAUGGCUGGGCUAAAUGCCCAGAGGAAAACAUCCCUAAAAUGGAUGCUUUGCUGCAUGCAUCAUCCUGGGCAGCACUCUGAAAACCAGCAGUGAGAGAAGUUAAAACACAUUCUUUAGUUGCCUACCUCCAUGUGGUUUGUCAGAGCAUCCCAGCACCGCCAUGUGAAUGCUGCAGUGAUGCCAGGAGGACACCUUCCCACCUUGGCCAGUUACAGCCAGCACAUACCAGGGAAUGGCAGAAUAGGCCUUCCCCUGCAUCUGCCCCACUGUGAUGCUCCACCCAAAGGCUGUCCCUGUCAGCGAUGAACCUGUUAUCACACAUCAAAUAUUCAGCAACCAAAUACCAUCCAUUUCCAAGAGGCUUGAGCCCCAACCUCUUUGUUGCAUGGGAAGGAGGUGCACUAAAGGAUGACAGGCACUUCUGUAGGGUACCCUUUUAUUUCAGCAUCUUGAACAGCUGCAUGUCACCAGCCAUUAUCCUGCAGACCUCUGUACCACCCCACCUCACCACACACCCAACCCAUGGAAUGGUUUCUAAUUUUGGCAGAAGACGCUGUGGUUUCUGCUGAACGUGGUGGAAGUUGGGAGCUUUCAUCCCAUGGGAACACAGCGCAGUCCCAUAUCAGACUGAUACGAAAAGGAAACAGCGGUGCUUUUCUGCCUCAGAAUGUUUCUGUUUUUCAGACACCUGAAUAUAAACUCUGUAAAAAGGAAUUAUAUUAGAUAUGUAAAUAUUAAUAUUUAUGAAAUAAAU
Molecule: long non-coding RNA, 4021 nt
Filed under: Gallus gallus (chicken)
Lineage: Eukaryota; Metazoa; Chordata; Aves; Galliformes; Phasianidae
Description: lncRNA (ENSGALG00010020326.1)
Source: RNAcentral